Molecule: ribosomal RNA, 157 nt
Filed under: Auricularia auricula-judae (jelly ear fungus)
Lineage: Eukaryota; Fungi; Basidiomycota; Agaricomycetes; Auriculariales; Auriculariaceae
Description: 5.8S ribosomal RNA
Rfam family: 5.8S ribosomal RNA
About the family: 5.8S ribosomal RNA (5.8S rRNA) is a component of the large subunit of the eukaryotic ribosome. It is transcribed by RNA polymerase I as part of the 45S precursor that also contains 18S and 28S rRNA. Functionally, it is thought that 5.8S rRNA may be involved in ribosome translocation.
Source: RNAcentral
CAACUUUCAACAACGGAUCUCUUGGCUCUCGCAUCGAUGAAGAACGCAGCGAAAUGCGAUAAGUAAUGUGAAUUGCAGAAUUCAGUGAAUCAUCGAAUCUUUGAACGCACCUUGCGCUCCUUGGUAUUCCAUGGAGCAUGCCUGUUUGAGUGUCACG